CCUGCAGCCGCUGCAAGUCGCACCGAGCUAACAGCGGCUUUUGUGAGUAUGAUGCACCGUGGUGGACGCACCUGUGAGGAACGUUAAAGCCAGCCCGGCCCGCCUGGUGCUCCCCGCCCGCCGCCGCGUACAGCCCCGCCAGCACCGUAAACACUUGACUGCUUUUUAGCACCAUCCUGGAUUUUAAAAGCUACGGCUGUGUGGAGUUUACAGCUGGAUAUUAGCAGGUGGAUACUCCUGGCGUUGUGUUUAACUAAGUGAUGGAACUAAGAGAGGCCAGUGGAUCCCUUGUCAGCUCCAUAUCCCAGCGGACAACAUGAAGGAGGAAAUUCCUCUCGCCCUGACAGUCGGAGAAGUCCAUUCCAUAAGACCUUGCACUAUGAGUCUUGAUAGCAUCUGUUCUGAAGUGUAAAAAAACAUAUAGGAAUCACCUCCUCCUGUCGAUCUUCUCUUUACCCCUAAGGAGGAAAACGACAAGUCCUCCAUACGACUACUGCCCUGCAACUACUGAACAGUUUAUUGAUGUAAACAUACUGACCCUAAGACUGUUAACCUCGACUGUUCUCUUGCUACUGCCCUUUUCCCUUUAAAAACAUAUUUUUCUAAGAAAUAUUUAUCAGAAUAUAUCUCUGCACAUACUGUGGAUAAAACUGGAUUAUUGAAAUUCAGUCCGACCCAUCCUAGAAUUUUAACUGCCCUUUUUGGAUUAAAAAAAUUAUUUGCAGCUAUGGGUCUUGUAGGUUUUUCUAUCAGACUGCAAGUAUUCCUCGGCACAUGUCUGGGACUGGACUUUUUAGGCACACCAGGUCAGUGGGCACGCUACCUCCGCUGGGACGCCAGCACCCGUGGUGACCUCAGCUUCCAGUUCAAGACGGAGGCCUCGGAGGCGCUGCUGCUCUACUUUGAUGAUGGAGGCUACUGUGACUUUCUGCAGCUCUCGGUGGUAGAGGGCCGAGUGCAGCUGGGUUUCAGCAUUGACUGUGCUGAGACCACAGUUGUAUCUGACAGACGGGUGGACGAUGGCAGUUGGCACUCUGCCACUCUGAGCAGGUAUAACCUGCGCACAGUUCUGGUACUGGAUGGCCAGGCUAAAGCAGAUGAGGUACGACCUCAGCGUCUGUUCAUGAAAAUAGUCAGCGAUCUGUUUCUGGGUGGAGUGCCUCAGGAUAUCCGCAACGGCGCACUCACACUGCCUACCGUGCGAAACAUGCAGCCCUUCAGGGGCACAAUUACAGACCUCAAAUAUGGCAUCUCGCAGCCCCUGUUCCUGGGAAGCUUUAUGGUGCCCCUGGAGUCAGAAGGGUGGUGCACAGUGAACCCAUGUGAGAAUGGCGGUACAUGCUCAGUGCUGGAUGGACAGCCAGUCUGUGACUGCUCCAAAACCGAAUACAAGGGCCGCUUCUGCAGUGAAGAGGUCAACAGCAAUAUGCCAGGCCUUGCACAUAUGAUGGCAGAACAAGCUAAAAGCAAAGGUACAGCUUUUUCGAAAUCUUUAUUUUUCCGCCUCUAUGAAAAGCGCCGCUUGCUCUCAAGGGAAGAGAAUGUGGCCACUUUCCGUGGCUCUGAGUACUUCUGCUACGAUCUUUCCCAGAACCCCAUCCAGAGCAGCAGUGACGAGAUUACGCUCUCCUUCAAGACGUGGCAGCGCAACGGCCUUAUCCUUCAUACCGGAAAGUCAGCUGACUACGUCAACCUGGCACUGAAAGACGGCGCUGUCUCCCUCGUUAUCAACCUGGGCUCCGGAGCCUUUGAGGCCAUUGUGGAGCCAGUCAAUGGGAAGUUCAACGACAACUCGUGGCAUGAUGUCAAAGUGACCCGCAACCUCCGGCAGGUGACAAUAUCCGUGGAUGGGAUUCUGACAACUACGGGUUACACCCAGGAAGACUACACCAUGUUGGGCUCUGAUGACUUCUUCUAUGUGGGUGGCAGCCCCAGCACCGCUGACCUGCCGGGAUCUCCAGUCAGCAACAACUUCAUGGGCUGUCUCAAGGAGGUGGUGUAUAAGAACAAUGACAUCCGUCUUGAGUUGUCCCGGUUGGCUCGCAUUGUGGACCCUAAGAUGAAAAUCCAGGGUGAAGUGGCCUACAAGUGUGAGAAUGUAGCAACUCUGGACCCCAUUUCUUUUGAGACUCCCGAGGCCUACAUCAGCCUCCCAAAGUGGAACACCAAGCGGAUGGGAUCCAUCUCUUUCGAUUUCCGCACGACUGAGCCCAACGGCCUAAUCCUCUUCACCCAUGGCAAACCUCAGGAGCGCAAAGACGCUGCCCGCAGCCAGAAGAACACCAAGGUGGACUUUUUUGCAGUGGAGCUGCUGGAUGGCAGCUUGUACCUUUUGUUGGACAUGGGCUCAGGGACUAUCAAGGUGAAGGCCACGCAGACAAAGGUCAAUGAUGGUGCCUGGUUUCACGUGGAUAUCCAGAGAGAUGGACGCUCAGGGACCAUCUCCGUAAACAGCAGAAGGACCCCGUUCACAGCCAGUGGUGAGAGCGAGAUUCUGGACUUAGAGGGCGACAUGUACUUAGGGGGGCUUCCCAAUGACCGCACCAACCUCAUCCUGCCCACCGAGCUCUGGACGGCGAUGCUCAACUACGGCUACGUGGGCUGUAUCCGUGACCUUUUCAUUGACGGUCGAAGCAAAGACAUCCGUCAGAUUGCUGAGGCACAAAAUGGCGCUGGCAUCAAACCCUCUUGCAACAAGCAACCAGGCAAGCAGUGUGAGAGCUACCCAUGCAAGAACCGAGGUGUCUGCAAAGAAGGCUGGAAUCGAUUCAUCUGCGACUGCACUGGCACUGGCUUCUGGUCACGCACCUGUGAAAGAGAGGCGUCCAUCCUCUCCUAUGAUGGCAGCAUGUAUAUGAAGGUGGUGAUGCCCACCAUCAUGCACACUGAAGCUGAGGAUGUCUCCCUGCGUUUUCGCUCGCAGCGGGCAUAUGGCCUCCUCAUGGCCACCACCUCCCGAGACUCAGCCGACACCCUCAGGCUGGAGUUGGACGGGGGUCGCGUGAAACUCACGGUCAACCUAGACUGUAUCAGGAUAAACUGUAACUCCAGCAAGGGACCGGAGACCUUGUAUGCCGGGCAAAAGCUUAAUGAUAAUGAAUGGCAUACAGUGCGAGUGGUGCGUCGCGGCAAAACCUACAAGCUAACUGUUGACGAUGAUGUAGCAGAAGGCCAAAUGGUGGGCGACCACACCCGCCUGGAGUUCCACAACAUCGAAACAGGCACAAUGACAGAGCGUCGAUUUGUUUCCAGCAUCCCAUCCAGCUUCAUUGGUCAUCUACAGAGCCUUAGAUUUAACGGCAUGCUCUACAUCGACCUGUGCAAGAAUGGUGACAUUGAUUAUUGCGAGCUCAAUGCUCGCUUUGGGAUUCGUUCUAUUAUUGCCGACCCUGUCACCUUUAAAUCCAAGAGCAGCUAUCUGAGCCUGGCCACUCUACAGGCCUACACAUCCAUGCACCUCUUCUUCCAGUUCAAGACCACCUCCCCAGACGGCUUCAUAAUCUUCAACUCCGGAGAUGGAAAUGAUUUUAUCGCUGUAGAACUUGUUAAAGGAUACAUCCACUAUGUUUUUGACCUCGGAAAUGGGCCCAACCUCAUCAAGGGCAAAAGUGACAGGGCAUUGAAUGACAACCAGUGGCACAAUGUGGCUAUCACCCGGGACAACAGCAACACCCACACACUGAAGGUAGACGCGACAGCCACUAGUCAGAGUAUCAACGGGGCCAAGAACUUGGACCUGAAAGGUGAUCUGUUCAUCGCAGGACUGGGUCCAGGCAUGUAUGGCAGCCUGCCUAAACUGGUGGCUUCCAGAGAGGGCUACCAGGGCUGUUUGGCGUCGGUAGACCUCAACGGUCGCCUGCCAGAUCUCCUCAAUGACGCUUUGUUUCGCAGCGGGCAGAUUGAGCGUGGAUGUGAAGGUCCCAGCACCACCUGUCAGGAGGACUCCUGUGCCAACAUGGGGAUUUGUAUCCAGCAGUGGGAGAACUACACCUGUGACUGCUCCAUGACCUCCUUCACUGGUACACAGUGCAAUGACCCUGGGACGACGUACAUAUUUGGCAAAGGAGGAGGCCUUAUUACAUUUAAGUGGCCAGCCAAUGAGAGACCGAGCACCAGGACGGACAGGCUGACCGUCGGCUUCAGCACCUCCCUAAAAGAUGGCAUCCUGGUCAGGAUUGACAGUGCCCCAGGUCUAGGGGACUAUCUUAUGCUGCACAUAGAACAAGGCAAAAUUGGAGUGACAUUUAACAUUGGCACAGUGGAUAUCAGUGUGCAGGAGAGCAGUACCCCAGUGAAUGAUGGGAAGUAUCAUGUUGUUCGCUUUACCAGGAAUGGUGGCAAUGCUACACUGCAGGUGGAUAACUGGGCGAUCAAUGAACACUUUCCAACAGGGAACAGUGACAUUGAACGCUAUCAAAUGGCCAAUAAGAAAAUUCCUUUCAAAUACGCCAGACCAGUAGAAGAGUGGCUACAAGAGAAAGGACGGCAGCUAACAAUUUUCAACACUCAAGCAACAGUCGGAAUUGGUGGUAGUGAUUACGGCAGGCCCUUUCAGGGUCAACUGUCUGGCCUUUAUUACAAUGGCCUCAAAGUGUUGAACAUGGCUGCUGAGAGCAACCCCAACAUCAAGAUUAAUGGAAGCGUGAGGUUGGUAGGUGAUGUUCCCAGUGUGGCAGGCUCAGCCAGGACCACAGCCAUGUCUCCAGAAAUGUCCACUACCUUUAUUGAAACUACAACCAUGAUGUCUACCACUACCACACGGAAACACAGAUCCUCCUCAACUGUACAGCAUGCGGCAGAUGACAUUGUGUCAUCUGCAGAGUGUUCGAGUGAUGACGAAGACCUGGAGGAGUGUGAAACUAUCCAUGCAGGUGGGCUAGCCAAAAGCUCUAAUGCCGCCCGACCGCUUCGUACUGCCUUUACAUGGACAUGGCAACUGACUUACACUGUCACCCUCAUCACCCUCAUUUCCUCUGUAGUAUGUUCAUAGGUCCCAGCCCUUCUUCACCGUCUCCCUUGUCUUUAGAGAUAUUAAAGUAUAGAGUCAUCCAUCCAUUCUACACUAAAGUUCAAAUUACAAUUCAAGCAAAAACUGUAACAUGGAUAGAUUUAGAUUCUAUUCAAGUCUAUUGCAAUGAAAACUAUGUAGAUACACUUUCUUUUGUAAAAACAAAUUAUUUACCAGGAAAAAACAAAACAUAAAAAACAGAAUUAUGGUGUUUAUUUUUUAUGUUAUGUGUUGUGGAUGUAUGUGUUGUUGCCUCCCUGUACCGUCGUGUUUUAAGAUAGAACACAAUCUACAGUGGAUAAAAUGAUCUUUAAAGUUACCAAGUGGCUAUCCAACAUUCUUACACAACUUUUCCUUUGUAAACUCUUUUCUUCAUGCCUAAAUCAUGCGGGCAAUUUGUUGAUGAGCUGAGUUAGUCAUCCCAGUACUUCAGGAUCCAUUAGCGCACCUCUCGUAGCUACUUGUGCACCCUUCAUUCCCACUCCCUCAACCCACCACCCACCCCUGACCAUUAUUGAGACCACCAAAGAGUCCUUGUCCAAGGCCACUGAGGCGGGGGUACCUUGCUUGUCGGACCGAGGCAGCGAUGAUUGUGAUGAUGAUGGCUUGGUGAUAUCGGGGUCUGGCUCUGGGGAAGCGUUCAAGUCUAACCUGCC
RNA transcript from Etheostoma spectabile (orangethroat darter), 5664 nucleotides. It is a transcript of the gene named neurexin 3a, with no coding region annotated. The record is from RefSeq and is a predicted model, not a curated record. NCBI's taxonomy places the organism in Eukaryota, Metazoa, Chordata, Actinopteri, Perciformes, Percidae. The transcript is spliced from 25 exons.